GCAUUCCUACGGGGGGCAGCAGUGGGGAAUAUUGGGCAACGGACGCAAGUCUGACCCAGCAACGCCGCGUGAAGGAAGAAGGCUUUCGGGUUGUAAACUUCUUUUAAGGGGGAAGAGCAGAAGACGGUACCCCUUGAAUAAGCCACGGCUAACUACGUGCCAGCAGCCGCGGUAAUACGUAGGUGGCAAGCGUUGUCCGGAUUUACUGGGUGUAAAGGGCGUGUAGCCGGGCUGACAAGUCAGAUGUGAAAUCCGGGGGCUCAACCCCCGAACUGCAUUUGAAACUGUCAGUCUUGAGUACCGGG
This 305-nucleotide ribosomal RNA is filed under the name uncultured bacterium. RNAcentral's name for it is "bacterial SSU rRNA". It matches the Rfam family "Bacterial small subunit ribosomal RNA", at positions 333 to 653 of the family's 1533-position model. The record is from RNAcentral.